UACGUAGGGUGCGAGCGUUAAUCGGAAUUACUGGGCGUAAAGUGUGCGCAGGCGGCCGCGCAAGUCGAGUGUGAAAUCCCCGAGCUUAACUUGGGAAUUGCGCUCGAAACUACGUGGCUGGAGUGUGGCAGAGGAAGGUGGAAUUCCACGUGUAGCGGUGAAAUGCGUAGAUAUGUGGAGGAACACCGAUGGCGAAGGCAGCCUUCUGGGCCAACACUGACUCUCAUGCACGAAAGCGUGGGGAGCAAACAGG
Molecule: ribosomal RNA, 253 nt
Filed under: uncultured bacterium
Lineage: Bacteria
Description: partial 16S ribosomal RNA
Rfam family: Bacterial small subunit ribosomal RNA
Source: RNAcentral